This 460-nucleotide ribosomal RNA is filed under the name uncultured bacterium. Its description in RNAcentral is "partial 16S ribosomal RNA". It matches the Rfam family "Bacterial small subunit ribosomal RNA", at positions 338 to 795 of the family's 1533-position model. The record is from RNAcentral.
CCUACGGGAGGCAGCAGUGAGGAAUCUUGGUCAAUGGACUAGAGUCUGAACCAGCCAAGUAGCGUGAAGGAUGACUGCCCUAUGGGUUGUAAACUUCUUUUAUAUGGGAAUAAAAUGUUCCACGUGUGGGAUUUUGUAUGUACCAUAUGAAUAAGGAUCGGCUAACUCCGUGCCAGCAGCCGCGGUAAUACGGAGGAUCCGAGCGUUAUCCGUAUUUAUUGGGUUUAAAGGGAGCGUAGGUGGAUUGUUAAGUCAGUUGUGAAAGUUUGCGGCUCAACCGUAAAAUUGCAGUUGACAAUGGCAGUAUUGAGUACAGUAGAGGUGGGCGGAAUUCGUGGUGUAGCGGUGAAAUGCUUAGAUAUCACGAAGAACUCCGAGUGCGAAGGCAGUUCACUGGACUGCAACUGACACUGAGGCUCGAAAGUGUGGGUAUCAAACAGGAUUAGAUACACCUGUAGUC